GCUCCAGAACCCCCUAAGGUUGUAGAACCUUCAAGCCAGCAGAUGGUCCCAGCUCAGGUUCCAGAGCCAUCUAAGGAGGUUGCAGCUCAACCUCCAGCUCAUUAUGAGAUGACAGUUCCAACACCAGGUCAAGAUCAAGCUCACCACUCAAUAUUGCUUAGUGUCACAGUUCAACCUUUAGACCUGGGGCUUACCAUCACCCCAGAAUCCGCAACAGAAGUUGAACUUUCUCCAACCUUGCAGGAGACCCCAACUCAGCCUCCUAAGAAAGUUGUACCCCAGCUUCCAGUAUAUCAAGAAGUAACAGUUCCAACACCAGGGCAGGAUCGAGCUGAGCACCCAAUGUCACCCAGCGUUGCAGUUCUGUCUUUGGACCUGGGACUUACCAUACCUCCAGAACCCACUACGGAGGUUGAACAUACUACACCCCUGAAGAAGACUAUAGUUCCUUCGAAGCACCCUAAGAUGACACUUCCACAUCCAGACCGUGUUCAGAUUCAGCCUUCAAACCUGACUCAAGCCACAGUUCAACCUCUGGAUCUGGGGCUUACCAUCACUCCUGAAUCCACUGCAGAGGUUGAACCUUCCACAGCCCUGAUGACUACAGCUCCUCCUCCAAAACACCCUGAGGUGACACUUCCACCUUCAGACAAGGGUCAGACUCAGCAUGCAAACCUGACUCAAGUCAUAGUUCAGUCUCUGGACCUGGAGGUUAUCGUAACUACAGAACCUACUACAGAGGUUAAACCAUCUCCAGCCACAGAGGAGAUCUGGGGCUUGCCAUAACUCCAGAACCCACUACAGAGACUGGACAUUCUGUAGCCCUGGAGAAGACUACAGCUCCUCGUCCAGACGAGUUUCAGACUCAGCAUCAAAAACUGACUGAAGUCACAGGUCUACCUACUGAUCAGAACCUACUCAGGAUUCACUGGUGCAGCCUGAAACUUACGCCCAACUUAACUGCACAGAGGAACAGGCCUCCGCAAGCACCAACAUAUGUGACCUCUGUACCUGCAGAGAUGAGACGUUGUUGUGUAUUGAUCUCAGCCCAAAGCAGAAGGUCCGCCACGUGCCUGUGCCAGAGCCCAACACCUACAAUGGCACCUUCACUAUCUUGUAAGCAUCACCUUUCCUCCAUUGUCCUCUGUGUCCUGCCUGACAUGGCAGGCUUUUCCUGGAGGCCUUCCUGGGCCUUCUUUAUCUCCCCAAGCCAUACUGACAGCUGACUUUCUGCUUUCACCUUUGUUUGUCCACUCUUCCUCCUCCUCAUUCUCCUUUACUGUUAGGCUCCUUCUCCAGUCUUUUGCUUUUGAUUGCUCAGCAACAUACAUAUUAAAUGUACAAACAAAUUAUUAAAAGAAGUGAUACAGAAAAUAAUAUGUGUAACUUGAUUUCAUUUAUAUAAUGUUAUAUAAUGUUCAAGAAGGCAAAACUAAACUAUGUUGUUUAUGAAUGACCUAUAAUAGU
RNA transcript from Sapajus apella (tufted capuchin), 1467 nucleotides. It is a transcript of the gene named leucine-rich repeat-containing protein 37A3 pseudogene, with no coding region annotated. Lineage: Eukaryota; Metazoa; Chordata; Mammalia; Primates; Cebidae. The transcript has 2 exons. The record is from RefSeq and is a predicted model, not a curated record.